GCUCGUGUCGUGAGAUGUUGGGUUAAGUCCCGCAACGAGCGCAACCCUUGAUCUUAGUUGCCAGCAUUCAGUUGGGCACUCUAAGGUGACUGCCGGUGACAAACCGGAGGAAGGUGGGGAUGACGUCAAAUCAUCAUGCCCCUUAUGACCUGGGCUACACACGUGCUACAAUGGAUGGUACAAAGGGCAGCGAAGCCGCGAGGUGGAGCCAAUCCCACAAAACCAUUCUCAGUUCGGAUUGCAGGCUGCAACUCGCCUGCAUGAAGCCGGAAUCGCUAGUAAUCGCGGAUCAGCAUGCCGCGGUGAAUACGUUCCCGGG
RNAcentral lists this ribosomal RNA (319 nucleotides) under uncultured bacterium. RNAcentral describes it as "bacterial SSU rRNA". It matches the Rfam family "Bacterial small subunit ribosomal RNA", at positions 1058 to 1378 of the family's 1533-position model. The record is from RNAcentral.